This is a long non-coding RNA of Equus caballus (horse), 855 nucleotides long. RefSeq lists it as uncharacterized. The record is from RefSeq and is a predicted model, not a curated record. Lineage: Eukaryota; Metazoa; Chordata; Mammalia; Perissodactyla; Equidae.
AUUAAACUUGCAGGGGCCCAAGGAUUUGAUAAGGCUCAGAAACAAGCCACCUAACUGCUCAAGGUUCUACCCCAAAUUUUUCCCCCUCAAGUAAAGUGGAAAGCCAUCCAAUGCUAUGUAUAGAAAAAGGACAAAUCUGUCCUUGAUUAUUUCAAUAGAUUCGAAAAAAAUUUCAAAAAAAAUCAGGAAUAAAAGAGCUAACUGAUGAGACCCCAAUAUCUAUUUAAUUCCAUUGCUAUGGCAGGUCUCUCCGAUGUGCUCAAUACUCGGAUUAAACAACAUGAUUUAAAGCUAAACAGCCUUGGGCCGGCCCAGUGGUGCAGCGGUUAAGUGCACACGUUCCACUUCUCAACGGCCCGGGGUUUGCUGGUUCAGAUUCCGGGUGUGGACAUGGCACCGCUUCGCAAAAGCCAUGCUGUGAUACAAGUUUCUCAUCUAAAAAAGGCUCCAGAUCCUACUUCUAAAUGGACUGCUGAACCUGUCACCGAGAAGAGACUGAAACCAACCAAAACCAGAGCACCCUCUCGUGGCCAGGAAGCAGACGACAUCCGAGCUCUUCGAAAAAAUGGGUUCUGUCUAUCGUAGAUGAUCUUCCUGAUGACAAUCUGCCGACUAUGAAGAACAGAUAAAGACAAAGACAGACUGACGCCAGUGGUCAGACCACCAGACCAUGUCUGCAGACCCUAUUCUUCGUCAGUGGUCAUUUGGAUUGAAGCCAACAACCUGCUGUUUCAGCCCAUAUAAUCUUUUCCCUACCCUCCCUCUUUGGAACACCAACUCAAGACCUCCUUGAUCACUGCUUCCCUACAUCCCACAGACUGUAACUGGACGAAAUAAACUUCAACUUCCCUUUAA